Molecule: signal recognition particle RNA, 298 nt
Filed under: Cebus imitator (Panamanian white-faced capuchin)
Lineage: Eukaryota; Metazoa; Chordata; Mammalia; Primates; Cebidae
Description: Metazoan signal recognition particle RNA (ENSCCAG00000006629.1)
Rfam family: Metazoan signal recognition particle RNA
About the family: The signal recognition particle (SRP) is a universally conserved ribonucleoprotein. It is involved in the co-translational targeting of proteins to membranes.
Source: RNAcentral
GCUGGGCUUGGUGGUGCGUACCUGUAGUCCCCGCUACUCGGGAGGCUGAGGUGGGAGGAUCGCUUGAGCCUAGGAGUUCUGGGCUGUAGUGCGCUAUGCCUAUUGGGUGUCCGCACUAAGUUUGGCAUCAAUAUGGUGACCUCCUGGGAGCAGGGGACCACCAGGUUGCCUAAGGAGAGGUGAACCGGCCCAGGUCGGAAACGGAGCAGGUCAAAACUCCCGUGCUGAUCAGUAGUGGGAUCACGCCUGUGAAUAGCCAUUGCACUCCAGCCCGGGCUACAUAAUGAGACCUGUCUCU